RNAcentral lists this ribosomal RNA (252 nucleotides) under uncultured bacterium. RNAcentral's name for it is "partial 16S ribosomal RNA". It matches the Rfam family "Bacterial small subunit ribosomal RNA", at positions 524 to 776 of the family's 1533-position model. The record is from RNAcentral.
UACGGAGGAUGCGAGCGUUAUCCGGAUUUAUUGGGUUUAAAGGGUGCGCAGGCGGCGUGUCAAGUCAGCGGUAAAAUGUCGGGGCUCAACCCCGGCCGGCCGUUGAAACUGGCGUGCUCGAGUUGGAGAGAAGUAUGCGGAAUUUGUGGUGUAGCGGUGAAAUGCAUAGAUAUCACGAAGAACCCCGAUUGCGAAGGCAGCAUACCGGCUCCACACUGACGCUGAGGCACGAAAGCGUGGGUAUCGAACAGG